GGCAGUUUGGUGUAGUGGUCGCAUGGGUACCUUCGGACACUGCGUGCUAAUUGUUAACGGUCUAUGAAUCAUUCUCAAUUAGAAGCCACACUGUCUACCGGGGGUACCAAGGACUGGGUUCGAUUCCCAGAGCUGGCU
Diaporthe citri is the source of this 138-nucleotide non-coding RNA. Lineage: Eukaryota; Fungi; Ascomycota; Sordariomycetes; Diaporthales; Diaporthaceae. The record is from the annotation of a RefSeq genome assembly.